Molecule: long non-coding RNA, 559 nt
Filed under: Monodelphis domestica (gray short-tailed opossum)
Lineage: Eukaryota; Metazoa; Chordata; Mammalia; Didelphimorphia; Didelphidae
Description: lncRNA (ENSMODG00000039633.1)
Source: RNAcentral
CUUUAAGUACACAUUAAUAUCAUCUACAAAGAGCAAAAGAGGAAACAGAAACAGAAGAAAAAAACUGAAGAAUGAAGAACAUCACUCGGAGGAAAGAUUGGAAGACAUACACUUGAGGAGAGAAUGGAAGACAGACACAGACUUGGAGUGAAGACACUUGGCUGUGGAACUAGACCCCUGGAGUAGCUUGUGCAGAAGACCUCAGACUGAUUUCCUUUUAGAUGGUCACCAUGUGUCCUGAUAAGAUGGUGACAACUUCUGUCUUCUCCUUGAGACUAGAAGACACAAUAAUCCAAAGCAAUGGCUCUGCCUGGUGCCCAGAAACACUGAAGGCUCUUGAGAUACUCCCACUUUCACCAAAUCUAUUCUUACACUCAGGUAAAAGGUGGGCAUUGAUUUCAACCAAGGAGAAGAGAGACUCAUAUCAGCAAGCUUUGGAACUCUGAUAACAUUCUUAACCUGGUCCAAAAUUCUUUGGAAUCCUUUGCAAAGGACAUCUGGGAUUAUCUAAAAGCCUGAAACCAUACAGAAUAAACAAAAGCAUUAUCAUUUUAAAACA